Molecule: non-coding RNA, 228 nt
Organism: Salvelinus sp. IW2-2015
Lineage: Eukaryota; Metazoa; Chordata; Actinopteri; Salmoniformes; Salmonidae
Source: RefSeq, a predicted model, not a curated record
CCCAGACCUGGUUAAAGACCUCACAGAGUUCCUGAAAGUGCGAUCACAUGACCCAGAGGAGGCGAUCCGGCACGACGUAUCGUGACGAUAUCAACGCGGGGAAGAAAAGACCUGACCUGGUUAACGACCAGCUCCUGGGCUUCGUCAGGGAGAGGACCCUGGACAAGAGGUGGCGGGUACGUAAGGAGGCGAUGAUGGGUCUGGCCCAGUUGUUUAAGAAGUACUGUC